AAUAAAUACAAAUAAAUUUUAUUAUUUAAAGUUAAAAUGAAGAUUUAGUUUAAAAUUAAAUUUAUUAGGUUAAAUUUUAAAUUUAAAAAAUAUCUAUAGAAAAAAUUUUUUUAAGCUUAAAAAUUUUAAAAAUAAACUAGGAUUAGAUACCCUAUUAUUUAAAAUGUAAAUAUAAAAAAUAGAGUAGUAAUAGUUAUAUUCUUAAAACUUAAUAAAUUUGGCGGUAUUUUAAUCUUUUCAGAGGAACUUGUUUUAUAAUUGAUAAUCCUCACUAUAUCUUACUUAAUUUUAUUUAAUUUGUAUACCAUCGUCAUAAGAAUCUCUUAAAAAAGAAAAAAUUUUCAAAAAUAUAAAUUAGUAAAAAUGUCAGAUCAAGGUGCAGUUUAUAGUUAAGAAAAAAUGAGUUACAAUAAAUUUAUUUAUACGAAUUUAAAUUUUAAAUAAUUUAAUGAAGGUGGAUUUGAUAGUAAAAUAAAAUAUAGAAUUUAUUUGAUUUUAGUUCUAAAAUAUGCACAUAUCGCCCGUCGCUCUCGUUAUUUAAAAUGAG
This 547-nucleotide ribosomal RNA is filed under the name Phronia biarcuata. RNAcentral's name for it is "partial 12S ribosomal RNA". Lineage: Eukaryota; Metazoa; Arthropoda; Insecta; Diptera; Mycetophilidae. The record is from RNAcentral.